Molecule: long non-coding RNA, 212 nt
Filed under: Mytilus galloprovincialis (Mediterranean mussel)
Lineage: Eukaryota; Metazoa; Mollusca; Bivalvia; Mytilida; Mytilidae
Source: RNAcentral
UAAUUUCUUGCAAGAUACCGAGUUGGAAGAACUUGCUAAAAAAGAAGGAAACAAGCCCACUUGUUGUGAUAAUUGUGCCAAAAACUGAUCCUGUGGGGAUUGUGAAAUUCUGCAAAUUGAGUCUUGAAAAUGUUGGAAACUGUGCCAGCAUUGAGCAUCCAAAAUUCCAAAAAGUUGUGCCAAAUAACUACGGUAAUAUUUUUAUAUAGCGC